AGCAGCCGCGGUAAUUCCAGCUCCAAUAGCGUAUAUUAAAGUUGUUGCAGUUAAAAAGCUCGUAGUUGAAUUUCGGGGUUAGUAGGUUGGUCAUGCCUCUGGUAUGUACUGGUCUCACUGAUUCCUCCUUCCUGAUGAGCCGUAAUGCCAUUAAUUUGGUGUUGCGGGGAAUUUGGACUGUUACUUUGAAAAAAUUAGAGUGUUUAAAGCAAGCUAACGCUUGAAUACAUUAGCAUGGAAUAAUGAAAUAGGACGUUUGAUUCUAUUUUGUUGGUUUCUAGGAUCGACGUAAUGAUUAAUAGGGAUAGUUGGGGGCAUUAGUAUUCAAUUGUCAGAGGUGAAAUUCUUGGAUUUAUUGAAGACUAACUACUGCGAAAGCAUUUGCCAAGGAUGUUUUCAUUAAUCAAGAACGAAAGUUAGGGGAUCGAAGACGAUCAGAUACCGUCGUAGUCUUAACCAUAAACUAUGCCGACUAGGGAUCGGAUGAUGUAAUUUUUAAUGACUCAUUCGGCGCCUUAAC
This 520-nucleotide ribosomal RNA is filed under the name uncultured Glomus. RNAcentral describes it as "SSU rRNA". It matches the Rfam family "Eukaryotic small subunit ribosomal RNA", at positions 569 to 1092 of the family's 1831-position model. Lineage: Eukaryota; Fungi; Glomeromycota; Glomeromycetes; Glomerales; Glomeraceae. The record is from RNAcentral.